Molecule: ribosomal RNA, 253 nt
Filed under: uncultured bacterium
Lineage: Bacteria
Description: partial 16S ribosomal RNA
Rfam family: Bacterial small subunit ribosomal RNA
Source: RNAcentral
GACGGGGGGUGCGAGCGUUAAUCGGAAUUACUGGGCGUAAAGCGCAUGUAGGCGGCCGAACAAGUCAGGUGUGAAAUCCUCGGGCUUAACCUGGGAAGUACACUUGAUACUGUCCGGCUAGAGUUUGGCAGAGGAAAGUAGAAUUCCCGGUGUAGCGGUGAAAUGCGUAGAUAUCGGGAGGAAUACCAGUGGCGAAGGCGGCUUUCUGGGCCAAUACUGACGCUGAGGUGCGACAGCGUGGGGAGCAAACAGG